RNAcentral lists this unclassified non-coding RNA (242 nucleotides) under Hevea brasiliensis (rubber tree). Lineage: Eukaryota; Viridiplantae; Streptophyta; Magnoliopsida; Malpighiales; Euphorbiaceae. The record is from RNAcentral.
UACGGCAUUUGUAGAAUUCAGUGUUGUUGUUCGUCCUCAAUCGAAUUUCGUUAAUACUUCAUACUUGCAGCAGCUUCAUAGUCAUCGUCCCUUUUUAUUCCUCAGCAUUCCCAAAUCAACUGCUGCUCUCUCAUUCACUCAAUCUCAAGGUUUUGGAUGUGGAAUUGAGAGACAACAGUGUGAUCGUCGGGAUUUUGUUCAAACAUCAGCUGUUCGAGAGUUGGCUGGUUCUCUUAUUUCUG